UCAAAGAUUGUUAAAAGUGGAAUAUUACUACAGUAGGGAAGUUGAUAUGGCAAUUGGCUAGCAAGCAAGAUGUGUUAUGGGUAAAAUGGAUCCAUGAAGUGUAUAUAAAGGGAUCCGAUGACAUUUGGCAACACAAAGCUCUCCAAGAUAGUAAUUGAUAUUAGAGGAAACUAAAUGAGCUCAAAGAAGAAAUUAAGCAGUGGUACCAAGGGGGAAC
This 217-nucleotide long non-coding RNA is filed under the name Capsicum annuum. Its description in RNAcentral is "long non-coding RNA (CANN_LNC004256)". The record is from RNAcentral. Lineage: Eukaryota; Viridiplantae; Streptophyta; Magnoliopsida; Solanales; Solanaceae.